RNAcentral lists this ribosomal RNA (730 nucleotides) under Arthrobacter sp. Dhal-D. RNAcentral's name for it is "bacterial SSU rRNA". It matches the Rfam family "Bacterial small subunit ribosomal RNA", at positions 723 to 1436 of the family's 1533-position model. Lineage: Bacteria; Bacillati; Actinomycetota; Actinomycetes; Micrococcales; Micrococcaceae. The record is from RNAcentral.
UUCUCUGGGGCAUUUAACUGACGGUUGAGGAGCGAAAGCAUGGGGGAGGCGAACAGGGAUUUAGGUUACCCUGGUAAGUCCAUGCCCGUAAACGUUGGGGCACUAGGAGUGGGAGGACAUUCCAACGUUUUCCGCGCCGUAGCUAACGCAUUAAAGUGCCCCGCCUGGGGAGUACGGCCGCAAGGCUAAAACUCAAAGGAAUUGACGGGGGGCCCGCACAAGCGGCGGAGCAUGCGGAUUAAUUCGAUGCAACGCGAAGAACCUUACCAAGGCUUGACAUGAACCGGACCGCUGCAGAAAUGUGGUUUCCCCUUUGGGGCUGGUUUACAGGUGGUGCAUGGUUGUCGUCAGCUCGUGUCGUGAGAUGUUGGGUUAAGUCCCGCAACGAGCGCAACCCUCGUUCUAUGUUGCCAGCACGUGAUGGUGGGGACUCAUAGGAGACUGCCGGGGUCAACUCGGAGGAAGGUGGGGACGACGUCAAAUCAUCAUGCCCCUUAUGUCUUGGGCUUCACGCAUGCUACAAUGGCCGGUACAAAGGGUUGCGAUACUGUGAGGUGGAGCUAAUCCCAAAAAGCCGGUCUCAGUUCGGAUUGGGGUCUGCAACUCGACCCCAUGAAGUCGGAGUCGCUAGUAAUCGCAGAUCAGCAACGCUGCGGUGAAUACGUUCCCGGGCCUUGUACACACCGCCCGUCAAGUCACGAAAGUUGGUAACACCCGAAGCCGGUGGCCU